Molecule: ribosomal RNA, 451 nt
Filed under: uncultured bacterium
Lineage: Bacteria
Description: bacterial SSU rRNA
Rfam family: Bacterial small subunit ribosomal RNA
Source: RNAcentral
GUCGAGGAUCUUUUGCAAUGGGCGCAAGCCUGACAAAGCGACGCUGCGUGGAGGAUGAAGGCCUUCGGGUUGUAAACUCCUGUCAUGUGGGAACAACGGGGUGGGAACUAAUACUUCCUGCCAGUGAUGGUACCACAAGAGGAAGCCACGGCCAACUCUGUGCCAGCAGCCGCGGUAAUACAGAGGCGGCGAGCGUUGUUCGGAUUUACUGGGCGUAAAGGGUGCGUAGGUGGUUAUGUAAGUCGGAUGUGAAAUCCCAUGGCCCAGCCAUGGAACGGCAUACGAAACUGCACGACUUGAGUACAGGAAGGGAGAGCGGAAUUCUCGGUGUAGCGGUGAAAUGCGUUGAUAUCGAGAGGAACACCGGUGGCGAAGGCGGCUCUCUGGAAUGUUACUGACACUGAGGCACGAAAGCUGGGGGAGCAAACAGGAUUAGAUACCCGGGUAGUCC